GAUGAAGAACGCAGCGAAAUGCGAUAAGUAAUGUGAAUUGCAGAAUUCAGUGAAUCAUCGAAUCUUUGAACGCACAUUGCGCCCGCCAGUAUUCUGGCGGGCAUGCCUGUUCGAGCGUCAUUACAACCCUCAGGCCCCCGGGCCUGGCGUUGGGGAUCGGCGGAAGCCCCCUGCGGGCACAACGCCGUCCCCCAAAUACAGUGGCGGUCCCGCCGCAGCUUCCAUUGCGUAGUAGCUAACACCUCGCAACUGGAGAGCGGCGCGGCCACGCCGUAAAACACCCAACUUCUGAAUGUUGACCUCGAAUCAGGUAGGAAUACCCGCUGAACUUUAGCAUAUCAAUAAGCGGAGGA
Molecule: unclassified non-coding RNA, 353 nt
Filed under: soil metagenome
Description: partial contains 5.8S ribosomal RNA, internal transcribed spacer 2, and large subunit ribosomal RNA
Rfam family: 5.8S ribosomal RNA (bases 1-120)
Source: RNAcentral